GACGAACGCUGGCGGCGUGCCUAAUACAUGCAAGUCGAGCGAAGUUUUUCUGGUGCUUGCACUAGAAAAACUUAGCGGCGCACGUGUGAGUAACACGUAAAGAACCUGCCUCAUAGACUGGGACAACUAUUGGAAACGAUAGCUAAUACCGGAUAACAGCAUUAACUGCAUGGUUGAUGUUUAAAAGUUGGUUUCGCUAACACUAUGAGAUGGCUUUGCGGUGCAUUAGCUAGUUGGUGGGGUAAAGGCCUACCAAGGCGACGAUGCAUAGCCGACCUGAGAGGGUGAUCGGCCACACUGGGACUGAGACACGGCCCAGACUCAUACGGGAGGCGGCAGUAGGGAAUCUUCCGCAAUGGGCGAAAGCCUGACGGAGCAACGCCGCGUGAGUGAAGAAGGAUUUCGGUUCGUAAAGCUCUGUUGUUAGGGAAGAAUGAUUGUGUAGUAACUAUACACAGUAGAGACGGUACCUAACCAGAAAGCCACGGCUAACUACGUG
Molecule: ribosomal RNA, 499 nt
Filed under: uncultured bacterium
Lineage: Bacteria
Description: partial 16S ribosomal RNA
Rfam family: Bacterial small subunit ribosomal RNA
Source: RNAcentral